This is a long non-coding RNA of Oncorhynchus tshawytscha (Chinook salmon), 519 nucleotides long. The record is from Ensembl. NCBI's taxonomy places the organism in Eukaryota, Metazoa, Chordata, Actinopteri, Salmoniformes, Salmonidae.
GCGGCAGGUAGCUUAGUGGUUAGAGUGUAGAGGCGGCAGGUAGCCUAGUGGUUAGAGUGUAGAGGCGGCAGGUAGUCUAGUGGUUAGAGUGUAGAGGCGGCAGGUAGUCUAGUGGUUAGAGUGUAGAGGCGGCAGGUAGUCUAGUGGUUAGAGUGUAGAGGCGGCAGGUAGUCUAGUGGUUAGAGUGUAGAGGUGGCAGGUAGUCUAGUGGUUAGAGUGUAGAGGCGGCAGGUAGCCUAGUGGUUAGAGUGUAGAGGCGGCAGGUAGCCUAGUGGUUAGAGUGUAGAGGUGGCAGGGUAGCCUAGUGGUUAGAGUGUAGAGGCAGCAGGUAGUCUAGUGGUUAGAGUGUAGAGGCGGCAGGUAGCCUAGCGGUUAGAGUGUAGAGGCGGCAGGUAGUCUAGUGGUUAGAGCGUUGGACUAGUAAACGAAAGGUUGCAAGAUUGAAUCCCCGAGCUGACAAGGUAAAAAAUCUGUCGUUUUGCCCCUGAACAAGGAAGUUAACCCACUGUUCCUAGGCCG